Molecule: ribosomal RNA, 628 nt
Filed under: uncultured Alphaproteobacteria bacterium
Lineage: Bacteria; Pseudomonadati; Pseudomonadota; Alphaproteobacteria
Description: bacterial SSU rRNA
Rfam family: Bacterial small subunit ribosomal RNA
Source: RNAcentral
AGAGUUUGAUCAUGGCUCAGAACGAACGCUGGCGGCAGGCCUAACACAUGCAAGUCGAAGGAGAAGUUUCUCUUCGGAGAGAUGGACACUGGCGCACGGGUGAGUAACGCGUGGGGAUCUACCCCGGGGUGGGGGACAACCGCUGGAAACGGCGGCUAAUACCGCAUACGCCUUAAGAGGGAAAGCUUUAGCGCCCUGGGAUGAACCCGCGUUAGAUUAGGUAGUUGGUGGGGUAACGGCCUACCAAGCCGACGAUCUAUAGCUGGUCUGAGAGGAUGAUCAGCCACACUGGGACUGAGACACGGCCCAGACUCCUACGGGAGGCAGCAGUGGGGAAUAUUGGACAAUGGGGGCAACCCUGAUCCAGCCAUGCCGCGUGCGUGAAGAAGGCCUUAGGGUUGUAAAGCGCUUUCACUGGUGAAGAUGAUGACGGUAGCCAGAGAAGAAGCCCCGGCUAACUCCGUGCCAGCAGCCGCGGUAAUACGGAGGGGGCAAGCGUUGUUCGGAAUUACUGGGCGUAAAGGGCGCGUAGGCGGAAUAUCAAGUUAGGGGUGAAAGGCCUGGGCUCAACCUAGGAACGGCCUCUAAAACUGAUAAUCUAGAGUCCGGAAGAGGAUGGCGGAAUUCC